UACGGAGGGUGCAAGCGUUAUCCGGAUUCACUGGGUUUAAAGGGUGCGUAGGCGGGUAAGUAAGUCCGUGGUGAAAUCUCUGAGCUUAACUCAGAAACUGCCUUGGAUACUAUUUGCCUUGAAUAUUGUGGAGGUGAGCGGAAUAUGUCAUGUAGCGGUGAAAUGCUUAGAUAUCUGAAAGAACACCAGUGGCGAAGGCGGUCAGCUGGUCCGUUACUGACACUAAAGCACGAAAGCGUGGGUAGCAAACAGG
This 253-nucleotide ribosomal RNA is filed under the name uncultured bacterium. Its description in RNAcentral is "partial 16S ribosomal RNA". It matches the Rfam family "Bacterial small subunit ribosomal RNA", at positions 524 to 776 of the family's 1533-position model. The record is from RNAcentral.